This is a non-coding RNA of Ceratotherium simum simum (southern white rhinoceros), 120 nucleotides long. The record is from RefSeq and is a predicted model, not a curated record. Lineage: Eukaryota; Metazoa; Chordata; Mammalia; Perissodactyla; Rhinocerotidae.
AAUGUAUGUUUAAUAGGCCAUGUUCAGGCUUUCUGGAAAAAUAAGGUCAGGCCAAGUUAGUUUUAAACCCAAUGGCUUCCUCAUAAACUCCAAUAUAUCCAAUAUUGCUUUUCAUUUAUU